UGCUACCAUGACUAUGCUGCAGGAGGUCAUCCACUCAGUGGAGGACCUUACAGUCCCCGAGAGUUCUGGAGGUGUGCUGCCUACAACAGCUGAAGUUACAUCGACUGUGAGCGCGACUGGUGCUGAUGCUCUGGCAUUGAUUAUUGCGACAGGAGUAAGCGAAGCCGGUGCAACAGGUAUGUUAUUGGAGUAGAGAUGCUAUUGAGGGGGAGCUCCCUUAUACCCAGUAGCUAACCUUUGGUUUUUUUUCUUGUCAGGGUCUUUGUUAUGAGUAAAGUGCCGGAGCCUCAAGUCGUCAAGAGCACUAUGGGUCCAAUACUCGAGCUGCCAUCGGAGUCGGA
This 341-nucleotide long non-coding RNA is filed under the name Setaria italica (foxtail millet). RNAcentral describes it as "long non-coding RNA (SITA_LNC007419)". Lineage: Eukaryota; Viridiplantae; Streptophyta; Magnoliopsida; Poales; Poaceae. The record is from RNAcentral.